Molecule: ribosomal RNA, 442 nt
Filed under: uncultured bacterium
Lineage: Bacteria
Description: bacterial SSU rRNA
Rfam family: Bacterial small subunit ribosomal RNA
Source: RNAcentral
GAACGCGAAGAACCUUACCAAGUCUUGACAUCCUUUGACCACUCUAGAGAUAGAGCUUUCCCUUCGGGGACAAAGUGACAGGUGGUGCAUGGUUGUCGUCAGCUCGUGUCGUGAGAUGUUGGGUUAAGUCCCGCAACGAGCGCAACCCUUGUCAUUAGUUGCCAUCAUUCAGUUGGGCACUCUAAUGAGACUGCCGGUGACAAGCCGGAGGAAGGUGGGGAUGACGUCAAAUCAGCACGGCCCUUACGUCCGGGGCUACACACGUGAUUACAAUGGUGGGGUACAGAAGGUCGCUACCUGGUGACAGGAUGCUAAUCUCCAAAACCUCUUUCAGUUCGGAUUGGAGUUCUGCAAACCUCGACUCCAUGAAGCUGGAUUUCGGCUAGUAAUUCGCGCAUCAGCCAUGGCGCGGUGAAUAACGUUCCCGGGUCUUGUACACACC